AUACGUAGGGUGCAAGCGUUAAUCGGAAUUACUGGGCGUAAAGCGUGCGCAGGCGGUUUUGGAAGACAGUGGUGAAAUCCCCGGGCUCAACCUGGGAACUGCCAUUGUGACUGCAAGGCUGGAGUGCGGCAGAGGGGGAUGGAAUUCCGCGUGUAGCAGUGAAAUGCGUAGAUAUGCGGAGGAACACCGAUGGCGAAGGCAAUCCCCUGGGCCUGCACUGACGCUCAUGCACGAAAGCGUGGGGAGCAAACAGGAUUAGAUACCCUGGUAGUCCACGCCCUAAACGAUGUCAACUGGUUGUUGGGGAUUUAUUUUCUCAGUAACGAAGCUAACGCG
Molecule: ribosomal RNA, 336 nt
Filed under: uncultured bacterium
Lineage: Bacteria
Description: partial 16S ribosomal RNA
Rfam family: Bacterial small subunit ribosomal RNA
Source: RNAcentral